ACACAUGCACACACACGCACACUCUCCCAUCCCACAGGCUCCAGAGUCCUCUAUGGAUCCAAUCUGGACUUUUUCUAAGAUCAAGUAUUUGCUCUACUCUUUUCCCUUCACUUUUCUGUUUCCCUUCCUCCUAUACAAGUUUUUCCUGAUUAGUAAAUUACGUGUAUCCAAAACCCUGCCUCAGGCUCUGCUUCCAAAGAACCCAACCUAAGACGUGAGAAAGUGAAUUCAUAGAUCAGGACGUACAAAAUGGAGGCCUCCCCAGUGGCCUGGCCCAUGCCCCUAAUCUAACCCUACGUGAGCCUGCGCUUAUGGAAGUACCUCACUGUCAAGGACACCUGACACCAGGCACAAUCCUCUAAUUCAGCAUUCAGCUUGCCUUACCCUAGAAAACAGGACCUGCCUGCCUUACCAGAAAUCCCCUGCCUUCUGGGCAAUCAUGACCUGCUUCCAGAUUGUCUCUUCUAACACUCUAUAAAACUCCCUCUUGCCCAAAUCCCUUGGACAGAGAGCUCCACUGCUUCUGACACACUGUCACAAGCCUGUAACCCCCAACUGCAGUUCCCUAUUUCCAAAGUCCUUGCUUUUUGCAGAUUCCUGGCCUAGAGUCACACAGUACCAAGAAAACGCCUGGAGGAAAUGUCCCUGAGGCACACUGUACCUGCCUCCUUCCGGGUACGUGCUUGAAUAAAUCAAAGGAAGCUGGAUUGUUUAUUUGGGGGUGGGAGUUCUGUGCCUGAUUCUAAAAGACUUAGUCUGUAGGAAAGGACAAGAGGUGAGAAUUAAAGUCCAAAUACAAUGGUCCAUUCCAGUGUCAGCUCCUUGGGGACAGGGACGGUGUCCAUCGUGCUCACACUGUUGCUGUGCCCAGCACAGUGGCUGACCCACAACAGAUCUGCAACUUGGUGAGAAGGUGAAUGAAACAGAGAAGCAAUAGGAGGUGAGAGCUCUGUGAGUAAGUGGAAGAAAGUUGGGGAAAAAGGGUCUGUGCCAGGUAAGACAUGUUCCUUUGCAAGCUGCUUUGUUGCUUUUCAAGCUCAUCUGUGAUAACUGCACUUUUCCUGGAACCUACUUAUAGUGCCCAGGGAUCUGUGGACUCAGGCUCUCAUUUGGGAAAGUGACAUUCCAGAGUACCCUUCCUCCUCCAUGCAGGAUGGAGAUCCAGCAGCCCGCGCCUAAACCUGGAACAUGCUCUGCUUCGAAAAGACCUAGUGGACCUCAAGGUAUAAUUCUUUGAAAUGACAUAUAUUCCCAUCAGGUGCUUCAGAGAAGCACUGGCCUUUUUCUUGACAGGCAAUGUGCAUAUUGGCACCAGAUUAUUGGAUGGAAAAAUACAGGCAUUUUCCAAGCCUCAAACACAGGAGUGUGCCAUCUAUUAAUUUGGAUUUCUUCCUUAACUAUCGUCAUACCAAUAUGUGGUGGUUUUUCUAAGAAGAAAUCAAUCCAAAUACGUCUUUGGACUCAGAAUCCAGGAAGCCUGGGUUUUAUCUCUGACUUGGUCACAGAUGCAGUGAAAAUGGAGUCUGAUUUUGGGGAAUCCGAACUGAGAUAGAGGCAUAUUUUGCUACCUGAAAUGCCCUGGGCCUAAGCGCUCUUGAGGAAAGAAAGGACUUGGAGCUACAGAAUAUCUGAUCCUGCCAUUGCUG
This is a long non-coding RNA of Manis pentadactyla (Chinese pangolin), 1646 nucleotides long. RefSeq lists it as uncharacterized. The transcript is spliced from 3 exons. NCBI's taxonomy places the organism in Eukaryota, Metazoa, Chordata, Mammalia, Pholidota, Manidae. The record is from RefSeq and is a predicted model, not a curated record.